GUACUCUUGGAAGCUUAACUACUCAGGGCAAGCCAUCGAUAAAUCUAGUAAUCUUUAGCCCCUAUACUCCCAUGGACAUCAAAAGUCAAAUUCGAGUCAUCUUUCCUAUGACUAUUAUGGUCUAGAAAUAUCUCGAAAUUCCUUUAUUGGGUUUCAAAGCUAUUGACUUUCAUUACCUCCUAGAUAAAGUGGCAGCCAAACUUACAAAUUGGAAGGGGAGGGCUCUCUUCUAUUGGGAAGAGCAACCUUUCUAAAGGC
Molecule: long non-coding RNA, 258 nt
Filed under: Elaeis guineensis (African oil palm)
Lineage: Eukaryota; Viridiplantae; Streptophyta; Magnoliopsida; Arecales; Arecaceae
Description: long non-coding RNA (EGUI_LNC008283)
Source: RNAcentral